Molecule: ribosomal RNA, 199 nt
Filed under: uncultured bacterium
Lineage: Bacteria
Description: partial 16S ribosomal RNA
Rfam family: Bacterial small subunit ribosomal RNA
Source: RNAcentral
ACGCUCGACACCUACGGGAGGCAGCAGUUGGGAAUAUUGGACAAUGGAGGAAACUCUGAUCCAGUGACGCCGCGUGAAGGAAGAAGGUCUUCGGAUUGUAAACUUAUUUUGUCAGGGAAGAAAAAAUGACUGUACCUGAAGAAAAAGCACCGGCUAACUACGUGCCAGCAGCUGCGGUAAUCUGAGCGGGCUGCAAGGC